GUCGUCAGCUCGUGCCGUGAGGUGUUGGGUUAAGUCCCGCAACGAGCGCAACCCCCGCCGUUAGUUGCCAGCGGUUCGGCCGGGCACUCUAACGGGACUGCCCGCGAAAGCGGGAGGAAGAGGGGACGACGUCUGGUCAGCAUGGCCCUUACGGCCUGGGCGACACACGUGCUACAAUGCCCACUACAAAGCGAUGCCACCCGGCAACGGGGAGCUAAUCGCAAAAAGGUGGGCCCAGUUCGGAUUGGGGUCUGCAACCCGACCCCAUGAAGCCGGAAUCGCUAGUAAUCGCGGAUCAGCCAUGCCGCGGUGAAUACGUUCCCGGGCCUU
RNAcentral lists this ribosomal RNA (330 nucleotides) under uncultured Thermus sp. Its description in RNAcentral is "bacterial SSU rRNA". It matches the Rfam family "Bacterial small subunit ribosomal RNA", at positions 1051 to 1382 of the family's 1533-position model. Lineage: Bacteria; Thermotogati; Deinococcota; Deinococci; Thermales; Thermaceae. The record is from RNAcentral.